Molecule: long non-coding RNA, 446 nt
Organism: Oncorhynchus tshawytscha (Chinook salmon)
Lineage: Eukaryota; Metazoa; Chordata; Actinopteri; Salmoniformes; Salmonidae
Source: Ensembl
GUAUUUUCAGGAGACUGAGAAGCUCAGACCCCAGCUCAGACCCCUCAGCUCCUUCACAUAUUUUAUCCCCUCUCUCCUCUGCUCCAAUUGGCUCCCACACUAAGGCACAGACACAGCUCUCUGAAAUCUAAGUGGGGGCCACACUUUGGUGGAUGAGAGGAAACCGGGGCAACCGUGGAGCAAUGCUGGAACUACCAUUCCCGCACUGAGGGACACAAAACAGGAAUACACAGUGGGGCACAGUGUCAACACCAUGAUACACACAAUCAGCCACUCGCCAACCCAGGGAACCUGCACCAACACAUCACAGCACCACCAUCUCACUGGUGACGAAGCUUGACCCCACAUCCAACCACAACAGGAACUGAGUUUGACUUUUAGUGCUGAAUUAAUUGCUAAUUAAAGAAAAAGGAAGAAAUGGUAACGCUUGCAGUGUCAUACCCCAC